Felis catus (domestic cat) is the source of this 506-nucleotide long non-coding RNA. RefSeq lists it as uncharacterized. The transcript has 2 exons. Lineage: Eukaryota; Metazoa; Chordata; Mammalia; Carnivora; Felidae. The record is from RefSeq and is a predicted model, not a curated record.
CUUCCUGUUUUCAAACGGCUGUGCUGAUAGAGCUGGUCAUGAGCAAAAUGGCUUUCCAACCAGAUAAAUCUAAACCGCAGCCCCUACUGCUACAGGAUGGAUCCCCACGUCCCCUGCCCCACGGACAUCUCCAGCCACCCCUCCGCUGACCACCACUUUUAUUUCAGAAAGCAAUGAGAUGAGAGCUCCUGGGCAGUGGCUGUGACUGUUGGAGGAAACUGCCUAUGUGUAUCUGUCUCCUCUUAACGCGGCCAUGACAAUGUCUCACCGAGGUGCAAACGUUUCAACCACCAAAGGGAGUCCCCAUACUGGACAGGUCUUAGCCUUCAGUUAUUUAAUGCUGCUUUCAGGAUUCGUAACAGUCUCCUACUUGAGACCCUCCUGCUGCCUUUGCAAAAGGAAACGCCAGAGAGAUAACCUAAGAACCGGCCCUACAAACUGAAAAUCCUCUGGGACGCUGCGUUUUGUUGCCCCAUCGUCUGUAUCGUUGCAUGAGGUAACAGAGG